CCAGAGAUACGAUUUUCACCAUGUGUCUGUUGUAGCCAAGGCCAUACAUCGCCUCCUACCGUGAGUAAAUUUGAAACCCCAUAUCCAUAAAAUGUUGUACUCACUUGGCAAUCCCAGAUCUGUUCUGGACUCUUGGUAUUCAGUCUAAAUUAUAAGCAGGCAUGAUGCUCAAUAUUGUAGCAAUGAACAUCAGGGCGCGUACUAAGUUCCAACUAAGAAAGUUCAGUUUGGCUAUUUGCCUUUUUUUACAUAGAUUAGAAUGAGUAGCUGCAAAAGAGUUCUGUCAUUUUGAGUUUUUGUGUAAGAGAAGGUACCAUCAACAAUCACGCAUAAUAUAAUAUGGAUAGCUUCAAACAUGUAGCUAUCCCAUGGGCUUGAGUUAUAUUACCGAAGCGGGGAUCUGUAUGUAUAAGUGUAAAGAUGUCCUAUAGUCAUUUUUUUGUAUGAUUUUCUAAGUGUUGCCUUUGUUGUCUUUACCUAAUGAUAACCCGCUAGCAAAUAGGUUGUCAGAAUCGCGAUUCUGUUAUACGAUUCUACGACUUUACGAUCCAAACUAACCCCUAUGAUUCUACGAUUUUAGUUCUUAGAAUCUACGUUUCUACGAUCCUGCUAGUGAAGAUUCUACGAUUUGCGAUCCUACCAUCGAAGCUCCGAUCCGAUUCAAGAUCGCGAUUCUGACAACCUUAGAAGUAAAUAAUUUGUUCCUUAUCUUAGCACCUAAUUUGCCUGCAUUAUGUUGUUAAUAGUAGCAUUUUUUGUUCAAAUUUUCAUCCUGUUGCGAAUCUGCAUGCCUUGUUUCUAAUUAUUUAAGUUCAGACUGUCCCUUCAAACGCCAUGAGUCAAGUCUAGGAUAUGUCAGCAUGAUGCUUCCACUCCCAACAUGAGACCAGAUUCUUUUAAUUUCGGGUAGGAAACUAUCAUGGUUAUUAUUUUACUCUCUGGAUGUUGCACAAAUGCUUGAACAAUUUCCUUGUAGAUUUCAGUGUAGUGGUUGCAAAAGUGUUGAUGGAAAUGGCUUAUUGAGUUGCCAAUUUUUAAUUGCAGGGACUGGUGAAGCACAAACAUGCGACAUGGCUUGGAGUAGACACCAACUCCAUGGUUCCAUUCUGCAAGAUGUGGCUUGGAUUACCGUGCUGCUGAGAACAGUGGCUGCGCUUGGUUUUGAAAUUGGGAAGGUUUAAUUCAAGAUUUUUAUAUCUUCCCCCUGUUUUUGUAUGGACAAUGUGUGUGCUGUUUAUAAAAUGUUUAGUUAUGUUUGGCUGAUGAGUAUAAACUCUUUUCUCUGCAUGUUUACCAUGAAUGAUGAAACACACAUCAGUUGGCUCACUUGAGUUCCUGUGCUAACUGAUAAUCCAUGCAGUCUCUUAUUCUGUAUGCUAUACAAGUUUGUUUUAGCGUCAUAUUGACUAGCAUUUAGAUAAUGUCAAACCAUGUCAAAUGAUGGGGUUGUGUGAAGCGGAGGUUACUUCUAUUUUAUCACGUCGCAUGUGAAGCUUAUGCAAGGACAUGCCAUUUUAGGUACUUUGCAUGAGAAUGCAAGAGCUCUGCUUUUG
RNAcentral lists this long non-coding RNA (1553 nucleotides) under Triticum aestivum (bread wheat). Its description in RNAcentral is "long non-coding RNA (TAES_LNC007127)". Lineage: Eukaryota; Viridiplantae; Streptophyta; Magnoliopsida; Poales; Poaceae. The record is from RNAcentral.